GAUGAACGCUGGCGGCGUGCUUAACACAUGCAAGUCGAGCGAGAAGUUUUGAAAAGAUUCUUCGGAUGAACUUUAAAAUGGAAGGCGGCGGACGGGUGAGUAACGCGUAGGCAACCUGCCCCAUACAAAGGGAUAGCAUUUGGAAACGAAUAUUAAUACCUUAUGAAACUUAACUAGUGCAUGCUAGGUAGGUCAAAGAUUUAUCGGUAUGGGAUGGGCCUGCGUCUGAUUAGCUAGUUGGUGAGGUAACGGCUCACCAAGGCGACGAUCAGUAGCCGACCUGAGAGGGUGAACGGCCACAUUGGAACUGAGACACGGUCCAAACUCCUACGGGAGGCAGCAGUGGGGAAUAUUGCACAAUGGGGGAAACCCUGAUGCAGCAACGCCGCGUGAACGAUGAAGGCCUUUGGGUCGUAAAGUUCUGUUCUAGGUGAUGAAAACUGACAGUAACCUAGGAGAAAGCCCCGGCUAACUCCGUG
This 479-nucleotide ribosomal RNA is filed under the name uncultured bacterium. RNAcentral describes it as "partial 16S ribosomal RNA". It matches the Rfam family "Bacterial small subunit ribosomal RNA", at positions 28 to 507 of the family's 1533-position model. The record is from RNAcentral.